CCUACGGGGGGCAGCAGUGGGGAAUAUUGGGCAAUGGGCGCAAGCCUGACCCAGCAACGCCGCGUGAAGGAAGAAGGCUUUCGGGUUGUAAACUUCUUUUAAGGGGGAAGAGCAGAAGACGGUACCCCUUGAAUAAGCCACGGCUAACUACGUGCCAGCAGCCGCGGUAAUACGUAGGUGGCAAGCGUUGUCCGGAUUUACUGGGUGUAAAGGGCGUGCAGCCGGAGAGACAAGUCAGAUGUGAAAUCCACGGGCUCAACCCGUGAACUGCAUUUGAAACUGUUUCCCUUGAGUGUCGGAGAGGUAAUCGGAAUUCGUGGUGUAGCGGUGAAAUGCGUAGAUAUAAGGAAGAACACCAGUGGCGAAGGCGGAUUACUGGACGAUAACUGACGGUGAGGCGCGAAAGCGUGGGGAGCAAACAGGAUGAGAUACCCCUGUAGUC
Molecule: ribosomal RNA, 442 nt
Filed under: uncultured bacterium
Lineage: Bacteria
Description: partial 16S ribosomal RNA
Rfam family: Bacterial small subunit ribosomal RNA
Source: RNAcentral